AAGUAAAAGUCGUAACAAGAUUUCCGUAGGUGAACCUGCGGAAGGAUCAUUAUUGUAUACCCGAGGUGCGAGGGCUGUCGCUGACCCGAAAGGUCGUGCACGCCCGAGUGCCCUCACACACAUCCAUCUCACCCCUAUGUGCACCACCGCGUGGGUCCCCCUUUGGCUUGUUCGGAGGGGGGCUUACGUUUUCACACAAACUUUGUAUGCAGUGUAGAAUGUAUUUUUUGUUUUUGCGAUCACGCAAUCAAUACAACUUUCAACAACGGAUCUCUUGGCUCUC
RNAcentral lists this unclassified non-coding RNA (283 nucleotides) under plant metagenome. RNAcentral describes it as "partial contains small subunit ribosomal RNA, internal transcribed spacer 1, and 5.8S ribosomal RNA". The stretch from base 1 to 52 matches the Rfam family "Eukaryotic small subunit ribosomal RNA", at positions 1780 to 1831 of the family's 1831-position model. The record is from RNAcentral.